UUAAAUGAAUUGACGGGGAGCACCACAACGGGUGGAGCUUGCGGUUUAAUUGGAUUCAACGCCGGAAAUCUUACCGGGACCGACAGCGAUAUGAAGGCCAGGCUGAAGACUUUGCCGGAUUAGCUGAGAGGUGGUGCAUGGCCGUCGUCAGUUCGUACUGUGAAGCAUCCUGUUAAGUCAGGCAACGAGCGAGACCCACGCCCACAGUUGCCAGCGUACUCUCCGGAGUGACGGGUACACUGUGGGACCGCCGCUGCUAAAGCGGAGGAAGGAAUGGGCAACGGUAGGUCAGUAUGCCCCGAAUAUCCCGGGCUACACGCGAGCUACAAUGGUUGGUACAAUGGGUACCUACCCCGAAAGGGGAUGGAAAUCUCCUAAAGCCAAUCUUAGUCCGGAUUGAGGGCUGCAACUCGCCCUCAUGAAGCUGGAAUCCGUAGUAAUCGCGUUUCAACAGAACGCGGUGAAUACGUCCCUGCUCCUU
This 481-nucleotide ribosomal RNA is filed under the name uncultured Methanosaeta sp. RNAcentral's name for it is "bacterial SSU rRNA". It matches the Rfam family "Archaeal small subunit ribosomal RNA", at positions 856 to 1338 of the family's 1478-position model. The record is from RNAcentral. Lineage: Archaea; Methanobacteriati; Methanobacteriota; Methanomicrobia; Methanotrichales; Methanotrichaceae.